GUGGGGAAUAUUGGACAAUGGGCGAAAGCCUGAUCCAGCAAUGCCGCGUGAGUGAAGAAGGCCUUAGGGUUGUAAAGCUCUUUCGUCCACGACGAUAAUGACGGUAGUGGAAGAAGAAGCCCCGGCUAACUCCGUGCCAGCAGCCGCGGUAAUACGGAGGGGGCUAGCGUUGUUCGGAAUUACUGGGCGUAAAGCGCGCGUAGGCGGCCAUGCAAGUCAGAGGUGAAAGCCCGGAGCUUAACUUCGGAACUGCCUUUGAGACUGCAUGGCUUGAACCCGGGAGAGGUAAGUGGAAUUCCGAGUGUAGAGGUGAAAUUCGUAGAUAUUCGGAGGAACACCAGUGGCGAAGGCGGCUUACUGGACCGGUGUUGACGCUGAGGCGCGAAAGCGUGGGGAGCAAACAGGAUUAGAAACCCUAGUAGUCC
Molecule: ribosomal RNA, 425 nt
Filed under: uncultured bacterium
Lineage: Bacteria
Description: bacterial SSU rRNA
Rfam family: Bacterial small subunit ribosomal RNA
Source: RNAcentral